CCUACGGGAGGCAGCAGUAGGGAAUAUUGCUCAAUGGGGGAAACCCUGAAGCAGCAACGCCGCGUGGGGGAUGAAGGUUUUAGGAUUGUAAACUCCUUUUGUGAGAGAAGAUAAUGACGGUAUCUCACGAAUAAGCACCGGCUAACUCCGUGCCAGCAGCCGCGGUAAUACGGAGGGUGCAAGCGUUACCCGGAAUCACUGGGUGUAAAGAGUGCGCAGACGGGCUUGUAAGUCAGUUGUGAAAUCCUAUAGCUUAACUACAGAACUGCAUUUGAAACUAUGAGUCUAGAGUGUGGGAGAGGUAGGUGGAAUUCUUGGUGUAGGGGUAAAAUGCGUAGAUAUCAAGAGGAAUACUCAUUGCGAAGGCGACCUACUGGAACAUUACUGACGCUCAUGCACGAAAGCGUGGGGAGCAAACAGGAUUAGAUACCCCUGUAGUC
This 440-nucleotide ribosomal RNA is filed under the name uncultured bacterium. RNAcentral's name for it is "partial 16S ribosomal RNA". It matches the Rfam family "Bacterial small subunit ribosomal RNA", at positions 338 to 795 of the family's 1533-position model. The record is from RNAcentral.